UACGAAGGGGGCUAGCGUUGUUCGGAUUUACUGGGCGUAAAGCGCACGUAGGCGGAACGUUAAGUCAGAGGUGAAAUCCUGGAGCUCAACUCCAGAACUGCCUUUGAUACUGGUAGUCUGGAGUUCCGGAGAGGUGAGUGGAAUUCCGAGUGUAGAGGUGAAAUUCGUAGAUAUUCGGAGGAACACCAGUGGCGAAGGCGGCCUUCUGGACUGACACUGACACUGAGGUGCGAAAGCGUGGGUAGCAAACAGG
This 253-nucleotide unclassified non-coding RNA is filed under the name Alphaproteobacteria bacterium. RNAcentral describes it as "contains 16S-23S intergenic spacer region". It matches the Rfam family "Bacterial small subunit ribosomal RNA", at positions 524 to 776 of the family's 1533-position model. The record is from RNAcentral. Lineage: Bacteria; Pseudomonadati; Pseudomonadota; Alphaproteobacteria.